RNAcentral lists this ribosomal RNA (429 nucleotides) under Pseudomonadota bacterium. RNAcentral describes it as "Proteobacteria bacterium partial 16S ribosomal RNA". It matches the Rfam family "Bacterial small subunit ribosomal RNA", at positions 355 to 776 of the family's 1533-position model. The record is from RNAcentral. Lineage: Bacteria; Pseudomonadati; Pseudomonadota.
UGGGGAAUAUUGGACAAUGGGCGAAAGCCUGAUCCAGCCAUGCCGCGUGUGUGAAGAAGGUCUUCGGAUUGUAAAGCACUUUAAGUUGGGAGGAAGGGCAGUAAGCGAAUACCUUGCUGUUUUGACGUUACCGACAGAAUAAGCACCGGCUAACUCUGUGCCAGCAGCCGCGGUAAUACAGAGGGUGCAAGCGUUAAUCGGAAUUACUGGGCGUAAAGCGCGCGUAGGUGGUUCGUUAAGUUGAAUGUGACAGCCCCGGGCUCAACCUAGGAACUGCAUCCAAAACUGGCGAGCUAGAGUAGGGCAGAGGGUGGUGGAAUUUCCUGUGUAGCGGUGAAAUGCGUAGAUAUAGGAAGGAGCACCAGUGGCGAAGGCGACCACCUGGGCUCAUACUGACACUGAGGUGCGAAAGCGUGGGGAGCAAACAGG